Molecule: long non-coding RNA, 3715 nt
Organism: Equus asinus (donkey)
Lineage: Eukaryota; Metazoa; Chordata; Mammalia; Perissodactyla; Equidae
Source: Ensembl
AACACUUCCAUUUUUUUUAUAGUAGAAGAGGAAAACGUAUCUAUAUGGCAAGAAGAAUAAGUUUCUAGAAGAAGCUUCCAGGUUAUUGUAGGGCAUUUCUAUGUCUGAGGUACGACUGGGCAGUCUCACAUACCUCAUUUAAAAAUGUCUUAGAGGGACUUCAUGACGUCAGAGACAACGCACAGCUGGGUGAGGUGUUAUUUACAGAAAUAGCAGCUGUUUAUUUGGUCUUUUAAGCUCUCACGAGGAUGAGUUGACUCACUCUGGUUGUUAGGAGAACCCAGCGGACCAGAUGAUGAUCCUGCUUUCAGGAGUGACACAUCCUACCCGUGCACUCUGGACAAGCCUUUGGAUGUCACCACCUCUGUCUGGGCUACAAGCUAUUGGCAAGUCUUCCAGCUGAAAGUCCCAGUUGCACAGUCCCAAGGCGCUCCACAGCAUUCCCAGGUCGCCGACAGUUGACUCCAGAGACUGCUUGCUUCCAAGCCAGGUCUGGAGGUCAGAAAUCUGAAAUGGGUCUCCCUGGGCUAAAUUAAGAUAACAGCAGAGCUGGUUUCUUCUGAAGGCUGCAGGAGGAAGCUGUUUUCCUGCCUUUCCCAGUUUUUGGAGGCUGCCUGCAUUCCUUGGCUCAUGGCUCUGCAUUGCUCCAAUCUCUGCUUUCAUCAUCACGUCUCCUUUGACUCUGACGUUCAUGCCUCCCUCUUUCACUUAUAAGGACCCUUGUCGUCACGUUGGGUCUACUCAGAUAGUCCAGGGAAAGCUCUCUAUCUCAAGGUCCUUAACUUAAUCGCAUUUGCAAAGUCUCUUUUGCCAUGGAAGCAACAAGUAAUAUUCAUUCGUGGAGAUAUGAACUAAUUAGGAAAAACAAACCAGUCUUAGCUGUCUUAUUAAGAGGUAAAAUUCUGGUGGAAUUUGCAUUUUUAUGUUUAUCAACUUUUAAAGUAUAUUUGCAUUCUUUUGAUUAAUUGUGUACUAAAUGUGAAGUAUUAUGAUAACUUUUCAGAAGAAAAGUUUUUAAAAAACGUUUGGAUGUGCAUGGUCACAGGGAAUUUAAAAAAAUCGUCAAUUUACAGCCUGUUUUUUUUGGAGUGAAUUAUGAUGGGCUUAUUUAGCAAAAUUCUUUAAAGUAUAAUAUAUUAUUGUAUUAGGGUAAAGGUCUAUGGAGAAGAUGAAAUGGAAGUAAGACUUGGAGGAACAUUAUAAAAGAGAUAUGUAUGUACAUUUAUAUUUUUAAAUGGACAAUGCUAAGUAUCAAAUUCCUUUGGAAUUUAGAUUCCAUUAGAAACAUGUAAAGAGUGUAGUAAUAGCUUUAUUUUAGACUUGCAAUAUUUACACUUCACUGGAAGUCUUGUCUAGCAACUUCUUAACUUAGGAUAAAAAGUGAAUAGGUAACUUAAAAAUGUGAUAGGUAGGACACAGUCCUUUGAAAUUACUUUAGGGAAUAGAUGAGCAAAAAGUGUUGAAGAACAGACAACCAAGAUCAUCCAUAAUGAUUUAAAAGCAAGAUUUCAAAUGAGAUUAAUAACUAUAGGCUAGGGGUGGCAGAGAGCAUUGUUUCAAAGAAUGAUAGAGCGUGGACUGGCCUCUGACAGCAGGUGGGGUCUGGGAUCGGAGGAUGAUAGAAUUUGCAGAAUCCAAUCUGAGAAUUGGCAGGACCCAAACCCUCACUCUCGUCUGCAACCCCAGGGAAGCAGAGGAUGUGUGGACAGGAGCAGGAGAGUAGAGAUGGCUGCAUGGGGGAAAUGCCCGGGAUUGCAUAAAGUUCCACUCAUAUGGUUCCUCCUAGUGUCUGCUCUGGGUUGGAAGCCAGUUGUCUCAUUAAUGCACCCUGUUUAGCUUAUCUCCCUCCCCUGUCUCACUUUCCUCCAUGCCCCUCCCAAAGAAGCUACCUGCAUCCGAGUUCUAUCUCAGGAUCUGCAUUUGGGGGAACCCAAACCAAGACAUGUGCAGUCAGUUACUUUCUUAAAUGGAAUAAAAUUAAGUUCCAUUCAAUUUAGCGUGCAUUUAUUGGGUGCAUUCUAGCUUGGCUCUAAGGAUACCCAAUAAUUAUUUAUUGAUUGAUUAAUCAGGAUGGCAUGGCCAGGAGUAUCAACUGAUCCCGUCUCUACUGAGCGUACAUAAACAGAUUUGGAAAAAACUGACCUUGAAGAAAUUAAUCUUAGAAAGAGACGAUAUGUGUAGUGAGAAGCUGAUCUGUCAAAAGCCAGAAAGGAAAUGGAGAGACAUAAUGAAAGCUGAACAUUUAGUGCAAUUCUUUUGGAAUAACUGUAAUUUUUCAUUAAACAUUUUUUCCUUCUUACGAAAUUUGCUGCUGUUCCCUUGUUGCAACCAGGAACCUUAAAAGAACCCAAGUGCAGUGUCUGGUUUUAAAACAACAGUUCAGCUUUAUUCAUAAGGGCAAAUAAGAAUCAGGUUCUAGUCUGAAGUUAAUAGGAAAUAAGCAACAUUUCCCCCUUAACUUUCACUAUGGCUCAUGUAAGUGCUAGAAAUGCAAUUACGUAAGCGUCUAGCUGACGUUUGGAGUGUUGCCUUGAUUAUUUAACUGUAGUUAUAAAAUGUCUAAUUUGCAUAUUGCAUUUUUUUCUUUUGCAGCAGUGGUCUAAAGCUUAUAAACAAGGCUUUAUUUCUUAAGAAAAGUGUUUAAAACAGAGGCUUCUGGCAGUGAGAAUACAGAGACUUAACCAGCAUUUGGCUUUGAGCUUCUGUAGGGAGGUAUGUUUAUAACUACUAUUGGAGAAAACCAAAAUUAGAGAGAAAUAAUGAGAGAGAAAUAGAAAAGUUAUUAACGAGUAGAACCAGAGAGCUUGGAGGAGAAACUGAGUUUCAAAUCUCUCUUAAAUGGUUCCUCCAAAGGUGUGACCUUGAGCAAGUGGUGGCCUCACUUCUUCCAUCUGAAAUGAUGAGGACCACUUGUGAUGCUUAGAAUCAUCACUGGGGCUUGCUGUCAACUGGUUGCUUUUUCUUUUCUGUAAGGAAGAUUGGCCCUGAGCUAACAUCUGUUGCCCAUCUUCCUCUUUUUGCUUUAGAAAGAUUGUCGCUGAGCUAAUAUCUGUUCCCAUCUUCCCCUAUUUUUUAUGUGGGAUGCCGUCACAGCAUGGCUUGAUGAGCAGUGCUCAGUCCACGCCCAGGAUCCAAACCUGUGAACCCCAGGCCGCUGAAGCGGAGCAUGCAAACUUAACCACUACGCCACUGGGUUGGCCCCUGGUUUGCUUUUUGAUGCUCAAAAUUAUUGAAUAAGUUCUUCCUUCACCACAGUGUUGCAGUGUUUUAAUAAGGAACAGACACAGAUCAGAAAAAAAAAAAAAAUAGAGCAUGACAAGGCAAUGCUGGUUCUUAUAUCCAUAGAAUGUCUGAGUUGGAAAGAAAAUUAUCAUCAACUACUUAAAAAUCAUUUUAGGGCUCUUACUAUGUGCUAAGCACUCUGCUGGACACUUUACAAAGAUAACCUCAUUGCAUCAUUUCACCAAUCCCAUAAGGGGGGCAUGAUUAUGUACAUCUUAUAGAGAAAGAGACAGGCUCCCAGAGGUAAUGUGGCCAACGUCUUAAACUAAAAGUCAAAGAGGAAAGAUUUGUUAUGCUUUUUUUAGCAACUUUUUUUUUCUUUUCUCUUUUUUCUUUUGGUGAAGAAGAUUUGCCCUGAGCUAACAUCCGUUGCCAAUCUUCCUCUUUUUUUAUCCCUGAGCCAACAUCUGUGCCAAUAUUCCUCUAUUUUUUG